This is an unclassified non-coding RNA of Orbicella faveolata, 4302 nucleotides long. The record is from RefSeq and is a predicted model, not a curated record. Lineage: Eukaryota; Metazoa; Cnidaria; Anthozoa; Scleractinia; Merulinidae.
ACGGAUCUACGAGAAAAUUAUCUGAUAAUAUUCUUGAAAUGUUACUUUAACCAUGUCAGAGAAACUGUAAUUGAAAUGUUAAAAGUCCUAACUAUGGAAAAUACGAAAUUAAUUCAAGAGGCAAAAGGAACAAAAAGUCGCAAAAUUGAAUGAAUUUUCGCCAAUUUGUUUCCUUAACUUUAGAACGAGAACUGACGAGAUGUAGAAAGUCAAGACUGCCUUGAUCUGAGUAUGAAUGUAUUACAAAUGCGACACAAACUCGGUGCCUAAAUAUUUCAGUAAACUCCUGCCCACUGGACUUCAGUAAAGGAAAUCCGAGUAGAAAGCGGAGUAUUCAGAACGUCAGUAAGCCCUGGCGUGAUGGACAAAAUGCUCCUAAGAAACUUGGAGAACUGAUUACUGAAAAAAAUAUUGGCACCUUUUCUUCCAAAGUUGUAUUAUCAAAGAUCAUGUCCAGGGACAUGUCUGUAACAUCAAGAGGAUUUGGGUAUCGACAACAAUGACACUUGCUUUGGAUGUAGUCGAGGCUUAGCUUGGAAGCGAGGCAACUCCAUGCUUGUUGUCACCUUGAAGGUUUAUACUCCGUCGGAAAUUCUCCAGAAUGCAGAAACGUAUCAAGUUACCUGUGACAACCCUCAAUGAACAUAUAAUCUGCAAGUUGUGCAAUAGUUAUCUGGUUGAUGCAGCAACAAUCACAAAAUGUGUACACACAGUGACAUACUUGAUAGGACCAUGCAAGAUAUUGUUUACAAACUUCUUCCAAGGGUGGAGAGAGAGGAGAAGAGGAGGGAACGCAAGUUUUACAAAGACAGAGGAAUUCCAUAUCCGGACCCUAAAGGGAUGAAAAUAGCAGAUUAGAAAUAGAGCCAUUGCAAAUGAAAUUCAUAAGGUUAUCAACACAAGUCACUAUUGGACUGAUUCAGAGAUUUUUGGCCAGUAAGCUACACUUGGAAUCUAAAAACAUGAAAUGGGAAGAGACCUAACACUGAAGUACAUCAGUGACAAUCUUUCACCUCAGAAGAACAUCAGGGUGAAGAGAAAACGAUGCAAUUGAAAAAAUUGAAAUAUGAAAUAAAGUUAAAAUCAAUUUUUUGUAGUUCUCGUUUUAGUUUCUUUUUUUUUUCUCUAACAGUUAUCAAAUCUCACAUACCAAAUUAGCACCUACCAACCCUACCCCCCCCUCGAAAAGCGGCUCCCUUAGCAAGCGCCCUUCUUUUGGCCAAAAAUGUAAAAAAGCACACCCCCCUGCAAAAUGCAAUGUUGUGAAUAAUCUCAUUAUUUUACUAUAAUGGUACCAAUUAGCGCCUAUUAUUUCCAAAUAAAUACCUCUUACUAACGAAGGUCGGGGUCCCUACCGUAAGUUGCGGAUCGGUUUUGUUUCCCCUUCCAUUCACGGCCCAAGCGAGGAGCGCGUGGGCCAUAAAUCGAGUGGGACAAAAAACGAGGAUCCGUAACUUACAAUACGGACGGAGAAAACGAAGUAAAACGUGCCGAUGAAUUGAUCGGUUAUUUUUAUAAAAGUUUACAUAUCCGUACUCGACACUGCUCGCCCAAUAUGCCUGUUCGAGGGUAAUCCACUAUCUUUUAUUUACAGAGCUACAACCUAGUACCAAACCAGCCCAAAACUUUUCAUGUUUACGAAUUUUUAACAUUUCCGCAGCAUGCGCUACCUUCCCACACACGCAAGGCUUGGGUAAAAGUGCCGGACAGUGUUUCAAGGCGUGAUGUUACAUGGAGGGCUGAACUCACGAUCUGGGAAGAGAUAUCCCUAUAGAGACCGCCUACUAGGUUAAUAAGAGCUGAGAUGUAUGAAAUAAAAGUCUGUAUAGAUAGGAAGUUCGAACGAAAACUAUUAAUUUUCUGUUUUCCUUCCAAAGCUACGAUAAAUUUUAAAAACCUCCCUCCUUGUUAUAUGUUCCCAGGGCUUGUGUAACGACUAUAGGCAAUUUGAGCGAUUUUGGUUUCAACGAUCUGACACGGCUAAAGAGUACGCUUCAGAGUAUUGCACAGUGGACAACGUGGAUGUAAAGCUGUGUAAGUCAACUGGGUCAUUGUUCGGCUAUUUCUGAAUUUACUAAGGUUGGCAGCUUGAUUUUCUUUGUACAUUUUAUUAUCCGGAAUUCCCCAAUCUCAGUGUCUUUAAAGUCACAUCUCCUGAUUUAAAGCCUAGUAAAAUCACCAAAUCCCGGGAGGGGAUCUACUACUGUUGCAACUUUAAUCGUAGUACUAGCCACUUUAUAUUCAACAACAGGCUUUAAACAAAUAUUUUUUAUCUUUCACACAGUCGUUUUGCUUUACUGUCAAAGUUAUACACCGGAGGGAACAUAUAACAAAGUAUGUGACACAUUAAUUUAAGCUACCAUUGCCUGAAGGUGGAUUCCAAAGUCUCGUAAAUCUCUACUCACGUUGAAGUACGUGAAAUAGUUUUAAAGCACGUAAAAAUGCAAUUUUACACACGCCUUAUUACCUUAAUCGACUUAAAGUUUCCCCAUUCCAGGGGCGCGUUUUCUUUUUUCAAGAAAUUUACGCACGUUUAGUGCAUGUAGAAGCACAUAAAAAUUCCGAAUCUCAAAAUUCAAAAAGUCGAAUUCAGUUCAACUUUUUUGCGUUCGUCUGUAUUUACGCACCAAUUCAACCAAGGGCAUUCUUAGAAAUUUUUUCACAAGACACAUUUCGUGCAUUUGGUAGCCCUUUUGUUUAAAAACGCCGUGAAAAUGGGAAAACAUUCAGAAGUAGAACCCCUGGUUAUCUGGGAAGUUUUAAAAUUUCCUGCAUUUGUGAAAGAAAACACGUGGCGUGAGGUAGUGGAAGCUGUCGGUUGGUAGAAGGAUUUCAGUCGACAACAUCGGGCCCACAAGAAAAAGGACAUGCUCAGGUGUCAUCCGGAAGUAGUUGUAAAAUGAAUCGUGGUCAUUUUAACGAAUUUCUUUAACCAUAGUAUGGAUUCACCCACUAGAAAGCGAUUUUCAGAGAUGUCUCUUAACCCAUAUCUCAUGAGUUAUUUUUCUCUUCUCCUUCGCCUUUGUCGUAGAUGAAUGAGAAGAAAAAAAAGGGCUUAAAGUAUUUACUAGAUUAAACACCGCCCUCCAAUUACUUACGCCGCCCUCGAAUAAACGCCGCAUUUUAGAGCAGAAACAUUAAUAAACGCCGCCUCAUGAUGUGGCGUUUUUCAAACCCUAACCCUGAAAAAAGCAAAUGCCGUGAAAAAUUAUUUUCCAAGCUUGUAACAAUGUGUUAAUAUUAGUACCUUCAGUAGUCAAUAACGCUGAUAGGGGCCGUAACCAAUCAGUGUGAAGGGAUUAUACCACGUGACCAGGGUUUUCCCAUACAUUCUCUUAAAUUUUAAAAUCCAAGAUGGCCCCUUUGGUAGCAAAACAUGGCGCGCACCGGAAAUGACGUCAUAGAUCGCGCGCAUGCCCAAAUAAGGCGAUGGCCAAUGCAUGAAAUCGAGGUUGUCACGUGCCUGACCAAAUAAGGCGGGAACCAAUGAGAGAUGGUUCGGGUGUGAAUAAAAAGGCUGUGUGAGUGUCGAGUUGGUAUUGUUGUUUGGAGAUCGACAAGAAGAUGGCCUCGGAGGAGAGCAAGACGACAGUGGAGGUGUUUGAGAUUCCAUCGGGAGACUUGCCGGACGUGAUUCCUAGAGAUGAAUUUGCGUCGAGAGUGUUGAAGGCUGUGAAGGAUAAUCUUCUUGGAAAGAUUAUGAAAAGCGCCGUUAGUGAAAGUACGGAUAACCUCCUGAAGAAAGAAAUGACGAUUCUGGCCGAUGACGUGAUUAAGUUCAGAAAAGCCAUGUCUACUAGGAUGCGUAAUGACGAGUCUCUGGAGGAUGGGGAACCCGUGUGUUUGGAGAGGUUGCCGGCGAGUUUUGAGGCUGGAUGGAAAGAGUGGAAGAGCGGUGUUGAUGACAGAGAAGAGUUGGCUUACCGAGCAUUUAUCAAAACGAUGAAGACACCACCACCAGAGGAGUGAAAAACAUUUUUUAAUGCCUGUAAAAACUAAUAAAGAUCCUUUAACGAGAGAAUGUAGAUGGUUUCUUGUGUGAUUUUUUGCAUCAUCUUGAGGGCUUGCACGUCAUUGGUUCCCAGGUGCACGAGGGAUAGCAUCAUGGUCUGGGGGGUUAGAAAUUCUCCGUGGAGGCCUGAGGAGGAUUCGAAAACGCGUCCGAAGGGCCGUACGUCGGAUAGGUCUCUUCUCAUGUACCAUGGAUAGGGAAAGUGUUGGGUGAGGAAGAGGAGCAUGACAUCUUCAUCGGGGUGGGGUUCGUUCAAAUAGAUUUUACAGGCCAGGGGUCUCUAUGGAAAA